RNAcentral lists this ribosomal RNA (468 nucleotides) under uncultured bacterium. RNAcentral describes it as "partial 16S ribosomal RNA". It matches the Rfam family "Bacterial small subunit ribosomal RNA", at positions 28 to 507 of the family's 1533-position model. The record is from RNAcentral.
GACGAACGCUGGCGGCGUGCUUAACACAUGCAAGUCGAACGGAAAGACCCUGCUUUUGUGGGGUGCUCGAGUGGCGAACGGGUGAGUAACACGUGAGUAACCUGCCCUUGACUUUGGGAUAACUUCAGGAAACUGGGGCUAAUACCGGAUAGGAGCUCCUGCUGCAUGGUGGGGGUUGGAAGGUUUCGGCGGUUGGGGAUGGACUCGCGGCUUAUCAGCUGGUUGGUGGGGUAGUGGCUUACCAAGGCUUUGACGGGUAGCCGGCCUGAGAGGGUGACCGGCCACAGUGGGACUGAGAUACGGCCCAGACUCCUACGGGAGGCAGCAGUGGGGAAUAUUGCACAAUGGGCGGAAGCCUGAUGCAGCAACGCCGCGUGCGGGAUGACGGCCUUCGGGUUGUAAACCGCUUUCGCCUGUGACGAAGCGUGAGUGACGGUAAUGGGUAAAGAAGCACCGGCUAACUACGUG